CCCUUAGAUGUCCUGGGCCGCACGCGCGUUACACUGAUGAAUUCAACGAGCUUAUAACCUUGGCCGAGAGGCCUGGGCAAUCUUGUUAACGUGCAUCGUGAUAGGGAUAGAUUAUUGAAAUUAUUAAUCUUGAACGAGGAAUUCCUAGUAAACGCAGAUCAUCAAUCUGCAUUGAUUACGUCCCUGCCCUUUGUACACACCGCCCGUCGCACCUACCGAUUGGAUGGUCCGGUGAAGCCUCGGGAUUGUGGUUCUUGCCGCUUUAUUGUGGCGUGACCGCGAGAACUUGUCUAAACCUUAUCAUCUAGAGGAAGGUGAAGUCGUAACA
Molecule: ribosomal RNA, 328 nt
Filed under: uncultured eukaryote
Lineage: Eukaryota
Description: partial 18S ribosomal RNA
Rfam family: Eukaryotic small subunit ribosomal RNA
Source: RNAcentral